This 590-nucleotide ribosomal RNA is filed under the name uncultured bacterium. RNAcentral's name for it is "bacterial SSU rRNA". The stretch from base 1 to 511 matches the Rfam family "Bacterial small subunit ribosomal RNA", at positions 338 to 873 of the family's 1533-position model. The record is from RNAcentral.
CCUACGGGAGGCAGCAGUGAGGAAUAUUGGACAAUGGGCGAAAGCCUGAUCCAGCAAUACCGCGUGAGUGAAGAAGGCCUUAGGGUUGUAAAGCUCUUUCAGCAGGGAAAAUAAUGAUGGUACCUGCAAAAGAAGUUCCGGCUAACUCCGUGCCAGCAGCCGCGGUAAUACGGAGGGAACUAGCGUUGUUCGGAUUUACUGGGCGUAAAGGGCGCGUAGGCGGUUUGUUAAGUUAGAAGUGAAAGCCUGGGGCUUAACCCCAGAACUGCUUCUAAAACUGGCAGACUAGAGUGUGGGAGAGGAUAAUGGAAUUCCUAGUGUAGAGGUGAAAUUCUUAGAUAUUAGGAGGAACACCGGUGGCGAAAGCGAUUAUCUGGAACACAACUGACGCUGAGGCGCGAAAGCGUGGGGAGCAAACAGGAUUAGAUACCCUGGUAGUCCACGCUGUAAACGAUGAAUGCUAGAUAUCGGAGUAAAAUUCGGUGUCGAAGAUAACUUGAUAAGNAUCGUCCGUGGGUAGGUACGGUCGCGAGAUAAACUACAAGAAGUAGACGGCGUGAGACGUGCCGACGACGACGACGAGGGAGAGG